CAGAAACGGACCAAUCGAGGCGCACGUUUAGGGCGACGUCACAACAUGGUGUCCCUCUGUGUACAGCGAGUUUCGGAGAAGUUCUGCAACUGCAAGACUGAUGUACAAAAAUCUAUAGUUAGUCUGUCAUUCUUUUAAAGAUAAGAAGACGUUUUCGAAAAGUAACGUUAGUUGAAUUUAUGAUACCCAUUGUCAUCAGUUUUUGUGCAGAUUUACUAUGGCACAAAUUAAUGUUUUCUGUAGACGUCGUAUAGCGAGAUUGUUUGUUACUGUGGUUACUCCUAGAUAACGUUUAUCUCGUAAGUUGCAUUACAGUUUAUAAUUUUCGCCAAGAUAUGCACUUCUGGAGUCAUAUAUGAAUACAAGUGAGGGGACAGAUGUCACAGAUUGAGCCGACCCCCCCUCCCGCUGCUCCGCCUCUUCCCCUCCCUAUCAAAGGCCUGGGAGUGCUGGGGUACACAUCAAUCAUUCUGAGUGACAGCUGAUGGACCCCAUUGACCUCCUACGUAGGGGGAAAAAUCUACUGGGUCAAUCAACUGUACUGAUAUUCUUCAAAGUGUCUUCUUUUGGAAGAUAGGUCAGAAGAAUGAAGUUUGGAACAAC
Molecule: non-coding RNA, 603 nt
Organism: Pimephales promelas (fathead minnow)
Lineage: Eukaryota; Metazoa; Chordata; Actinopteri; Cypriniformes; Leuciscidae
Source: RefSeq, a predicted model, not a curated record